This 233-nucleotide long non-coding RNA is filed under the name Lathyrus oleraceus (garden pea). Its description in RNAcentral is "Pisum sativum (pea) long non-coding RNA (PSAT_LNC040123)". The record is from RNAcentral. Lineage: Eukaryota; Viridiplantae; Streptophyta; Magnoliopsida; Fabales; Fabaceae.
UUUCUGCCUUCUGAACAAGACGCUUCCAACUGAUCCCUACCGGGUAUUAUCCAUAAUGCUUUAACCAAAGCGCAAACGAUCAUGCCAGACGCAGUUGUUCGUUUCAAUCCCUCUUUUGCCUGGACCGCCCUUUCAGGUUUUCAGUCCACCGGGAUACCCAUUUUUGCCCAAGUCGCCUUUUCAGGUUUUCGACUUGCCGGGUGUACAGUUUUUUCUUUUAUCCCUAAUUUUUG